RNAcentral lists this ribosomal RNA (497 nucleotides) under uncultured bacterium. RNAcentral describes it as "partial 16S ribosomal RNA". It matches the Rfam family "Bacterial small subunit ribosomal RNA", at positions 28 to 507 of the family's 1533-position model. The record is from RNAcentral.
GAUGAACGCUGGCGGCGUGCCUAAUACAUGCAAGUCGAGCGAACAGAUGAGGAGCUUGCUCCUCUGACGUUAGCGGCGGACGGGUGAGUAACACGUGGAUAACCUACCUAUAAGACUGGGAUAACUUCGGGAAACCGGAGCUAAUACCGGAUAAUAUGUUGAACCGCAUGGUUCAAUAGUGAAAGACGGUUUUGCUGUCACUUAUAGAUGGAUCCGCGCCGCAUUAGCUAGUUGGUAAGGUAACGGCUUACCAAGGCGACGAUGCGUAGCCGACCUGAGAGGGUGAUCGGCCACACUGGAACUGAGACACGGUCCAGACUCCUACGGGAGGCAGCAGUAGGGAAUCUUCCGCAAUGGGCGAAAGCCUGACGGAGCAACGCCGCGUGAGUGAUGAAGGUCUUCGGAUCGUAAAACUCUGUUAUUAGGGAAGAACAAAUGUGUAAGUAACUAUGCACGUCUUGACGGUACCUAAUCAGAAAGCCACGGCUAACUACGUG